CCUGGCUGUGCCUCACUCCCGUUGCAGACAGCCCCUCUGCCAGCACGGUCUGCUGAGCAGCGCUUUGCUUCUGGCUUCUGUAAAGUUAAUUGGUUUCGAGGUUCCAGGAACAAGCGAAGGAGAAAAACCCACUCUCCAACGUGCGGGAUCAUUGAAUGCUCUCUGCUUUGAUUUUCUGCAAAUCUUCAGCUUGACAUGGUGGAGUCCAUGUCCUCUGCUCACCUGGAAAAUGCACCAGAGAGGGAUGUCACAUGCUGGACAAGGAAGGGGACAGUAAAAAGCAGAUAUGGCUGCAUUUGUGCCAGUAGCAGGGGAAGGGCAUUUGGAGGCUGGGAAGGAGCAGACAGUCUCCAAAUCACUUCCCACAGGUCCUCCAGUGUGCUACCCCACAGCAGUCGCUGCACCCUGUGCCACGGGACCACACUGGCUGUCCCCGUGCCCAGCACCUGUGCUGUGUUUGCUUACAGGGCGGGAGCUCUUGCUGCCUUUUACAGCCCCGCUGAGCUGCUUUACCGCCCAUCCCUGGACGUCUCUCCUCAGGUGCCACGUGGCUGCACCCGCCAUCACCAGCCACCAGAGCAGGGAAAGGGUUAAGCUGAUGGCUUGAGGCCAGCCAUGCCCAUCCUCUGGGUGCCUCUGGCUCCCCCUUCACACUGCCAAACCUGGCUGCCUCCAGUCCCCCGGCGUGCCAGCCAGCGCUGGUUCAGCACUUACGCACGCUGCUGUUAUUAGAAAUUAGUUAAUGGAUGUGUGUCUCCAGCCAAAGGAGAGCGGCAGUAACAGGAGCCGUGGGAUUGCCGGGAGCGUGAGGGCAGAGCUGCCACUGAAUAUUUAACAUCCCUCGAUGUCCAGGCGAUAGGGUGCCUCUUCUCCCGAUGGCGACGCUCACUGCUGGCUGGCAAAGCCCUUUCCAUCCCAGGCUGCCCGAGGCUUCGCAAGGAUUUAUGAAAGAUAUGCAUAACACAAAUAAAACCUUCCAGCA
Long non-coding RNA from Oenanthe melanoleuca, 982 nucleotides. RefSeq lists it as uncharacterized. The record is from RefSeq and is a predicted model, not a curated record. Lineage: Eukaryota; Metazoa; Chordata; Aves; Passeriformes; Muscicapidae. The transcript is spliced from 3 exons.